ACUACGGGUGGCAGCAGUAGGGAAUCUUCCACAAUGGGCGCAAGCCUGAUGGAGCAACACCGCGUGAGUGAAGAAGGGUUUCGGCUCGUAAAGCUCUGUUGUUGGAGAAGAACGUGCGUGAGAGUCACUGUUCACGCAGUGACGGUAUCCAACCAGAAAGCCACGGCUAACUACGUGCCAGCAGCCGCGGUAAUACGGAGGUGGCAAGCGUUAUCCGGAUUUGUUGGGCGUAAAGCGAGCGCAGGCGGUUGAUUAGGUCUGAUGUGAAAGGCUUAGGCUUAACCGAAGAACGGCAACGGAUACCGGUCAACUUGAGUGCAGAAGAGGACAGUGGAACUCCAUGUGUAGCGGUGGAAUGCGUAGAUAUAAGGAGGAACACCAGUGGCGAAGGCGGCUGUCUGGUCUGCAACUGACGCUGAGGCUCGAAAGCAUGGGUAGCGAACAGGAUUAGAUACCCGUGUAGUC
This 465-nucleotide ribosomal RNA is filed under the name uncultured bacterium. RNAcentral's name for it is "partial 16S ribosomal RNA". It matches the Rfam family "Bacterial small subunit ribosomal RNA", at positions 338 to 795 of the family's 1533-position model. The record is from RNAcentral.